This 818-nucleotide long non-coding RNA is filed under the name Vigna radiata. RNAcentral describes it as "long non-coding RNA (VRAD_LNC005372)". The record is from RNAcentral. Lineage: Eukaryota; Viridiplantae; Streptophyta; Magnoliopsida; Fabales; Fabaceae.
CUAAAGGUGGAGGUUUAUUUAAGAUGUGUAGCACAAGAAUUUAUUUUGGAGAAUACACUUUAUUUUCCUUUAGAAGCAUUGCUGCCACACGGCCCAUAAGCAAUUUGAAGAUGCUGCCACAUUAUAAGAACCCACGACCCACACUUAAAAGAUUAUGCUGCAUGGUUAAAUGAAGGAGCUAGAUGCUGAUCCACCAGAGGGCCCAUCAGCACGGUCAGCAAUUCUUCUUGGCAGCAUUUGAAGCCAGCAUACCACGGUGCAGCAGAAAGAAAAUUGGCAACACGGCCUUGGCCCAACUUGUUAUUUUANCUGACCCACACAUCAGUAGAAAUAUGCAAGCAGCUUGGCAGCAAAUUUGGAGCGUCUAGCGUUGAAGAAAAAGCUGGUUCACUAAUUUGUUUGGAGGAAAAUACACCACAGCCCAAUUGUUUAGCACACAACACAUGCACAUUCAGAGGUGGCCACGCUGGCAGUAGGGCACACAGUAGAGUUACCUCAGGAUUGCUUCAUUAAAAAGAAGCUGCAGCCGCCACACUCGGGGGGAGGCUCUCUCGGCACAAUUUUUUUUUCAAUCUCAAUGCUGAAACGUUUUUGGAGAGAGUUUUUCUUGUUGGAACAUGUUUAACUUUUUGCAUGUUGGAUGAAUGGAAAGGAGCANCCCUUGUUUAUUAUUCAUUAAAGAUGAAAUAGUUUUUAACAUUACGCUUUAUUGAUGUGUUGAUUGAAUGAAGUGCUAAUAGGAUUCAUGAUAAUUCACGGUGUUGUUUUCAAAUUAUGAAGAAGGUGUCACGGUCCAGGUGCAGUAACUCACGUUGCAU